GUGCGACGCCGCGUGGGGGAAUGAAGGUCUUCGGAUUGUAAACCCCUGUCAUGUGGGAGCAAAUUAAAAAGAUAGUACCACAAGAGGAAGAGACGGCUAACUCUGUGCCAGCAGCCGCGGUAAUACAGAGGUCUCAAGCGUUGUUCGGAAUCACUGGGCGUAAAGCGUGCGUAGGCUGUUUCGUAAGUCGUGUGUGAAAGGCGCGGGCUCAACCCGCGGACGGCACAUGAUACUGCGAGACUAGAGUAAUGGAGGGGGAACCGGAAUUCUCGGUGUAGCAGUGAAAUGCGUAGAUAUCGAGAGGAACACUCGUGGCGAAGGCGGGUUCCUGGACAUUAACUGACGCUGAGGCACGAAGGCCAGGGGAGCGAAAGGGAUUAGAUACCCCUGUAGUCCUGGCAGUAAACGGUGCACGCUUGGUGUGCGGGGAAUCGACCCCCUGCGUGCCGGAGUAACGCGUUAAGCGUGCCGCCUGGGGAGUACGGUCGCAAGAUUAAAACUCAAAGAAAUUGACGGGGACCCGCACAAGCGGUGGAGUAUGUGGCUUAAUUCGAUGCAACGCGAAGAACCUUACCUGGGCUUGACAUGUAAUGAACAACAUGUGAAAGCAUGCGACUCUUCGGAGGCGUUACACAGGUGCUGCAUGGCCGUCGUCAGCUCGUGUCGUGAGAUGUUUGGUUAAGUCCAGCAACGAGCGCAACCCCUGUUGCCAGUUACCAGCACGUGAAGGUGGGGACUCUGGCGAGACUGCCCAGAUCAACUGGGAGGAA
This 770-nucleotide ribosomal RNA is filed under the name Akkermansia muciniphila. RNAcentral describes it as "bacterial SSU rRNA". It matches the Rfam family "Bacterial small subunit ribosomal RNA", at positions 389 to 1171 of the family's 1533-position model. Lineage: Bacteria; Pseudomonadati; Verrucomicrobiota; Verrucomicrobiia; Verrucomicrobiales; Akkermansiaceae. The record is from RNAcentral.